UGGGGAAUAUUGCACAAUGGGCGCAAGCCUGAUGCAGCCAUGCCGCGUGUGUGAAGAAGGCCUUCGGGUUGUAAAGCACUUUCAGCGAGGAGGAAGGUGGUGGACUUAAUACGUUCAUCAAUUGACGUUACUCGCAGAAGAAGCACCGGCUAACUCCGUGCCAGCAGCCGCGGUAAUACGGAGGGUGCAAGCGUUAAUCGGAAUUACUGGGCGUAAAGCGCACGCAGGCGGUUUGUUAAGUCAGAUGUGAAAUCCCCCGGGCUCAACCUGGGAACUGCAUUUGAAACUGGCAAGCUAGAGUCUCGUAGAGGGGGGCUAGAAUUCCAGGUGUAGCGGUGAAAUGCGUAGAGAUCUGGAGGAAUACCGGUGGCGAAGGCGGCCCCCCUGGACGAAGACUGACGCUCAGGUGCGAAAGCGUGGGGCAGCAAACAGGAUUAGAUACCCUGGUAGUCCACGCUGUAAACGAUGUCGAUUUGGAGGUUGUGCCCUUGAGCGUGGCUUCCGGAGCUAACGCGUUAAAGUCGACCGCCUGGGGGAG
Molecule: ribosomal RNA, 538 nt
Filed under: uncultured bacterium
Lineage: Bacteria
Description: partial 16S ribosomal RNA
Rfam family: Bacterial small subunit ribosomal RNA
Source: RNAcentral